GAUGAACGCUGGCGGCGUGCCUAAUACAUGCAAGUCGAGCGAACAGACGAGGAGCUUGCUCCUCUGACGUUAGCGGCGGACGGGUGAGUAACACGUGGAUAACCUACCUAUAAGACUGGGAUAACUUCGGGAAACCGGAGCUAAUACCGGAUAAUAUAUUAAACCGCAUGGUUCAAUAGUGAAAGACGGUUUUGCUGUCACUUAUAGAUGUAUCCGCGCCGCAUUAGCUAGUUGGUAAGGUAACGGCUUACCAAGGCAACGAUGCGUAGCCGACCUGAGAGGGUGAUCGGCCACACUGGAACUGAGACACGGUCCAGACUCCUACGGGAGGCAGCAGUAGGGAAUCUUCCGCAAUGGGCGAAAGCCUGACGGAGCAACGCCGCGUGAGUGAUGAAGGUCUUCGGAUCGUAAAACUCUGUUAUUAGGGAAGAACAAAUGUGUAAGUAACUAUGCACGUCUUGACGGUACCUAAUCAGAAAGCCACGGCUAACUACGUG
Molecule: ribosomal RNA, 497 nt
Filed under: uncultured bacterium
Lineage: Bacteria
Description: partial 16S ribosomal RNA
Rfam family: Bacterial small subunit ribosomal RNA
Source: RNAcentral